Long non-coding RNA from Ananas comosus (pineapple), 408 nucleotides. RefSeq lists it as uncharacterized. The record is from RefSeq and is a predicted model, not a curated record. NCBI's taxonomy places the organism in Eukaryota, Viridiplantae, Streptophyta, Magnoliopsida, Poales, Bromeliaceae. The transcript is spliced from 5 exons.
UGCGAGCGUCGCAGAGCUUACAUGGAAGUAUGAGGGAGGAUUUUGGAGAGUUUUUCGCAGCCCUGGACCAGUAGAGUCCUGGUUGGAUGUUCGAUAAGCUGAGAGAGAAGAGGUUUUAUUGUUGAAACAGGGUCAGAUAUUGUAGCUUGGCUCAGUUGGGACUAAGUUUCUGAUCAAAGAAGCAGGUUUUUGAAUUAAACUGAGCUUAAUUGGUGACAUUGGGGAUUGGUUUAGAAGGUGUUCUAACCCAGACAAGAGUGCGAUCGACUUUUGGAGUGACUUCAGCUGACUUGUGAAAGCUCUUGAAGACUCAACUUGAGCAGGUCCAGAGACCGUUUGAGCUGAGUUUGGAGCUUCUGUUGGGCUGUUUUGAGCUUAGUGAUAAGUGGGUUUGACCUAACCAGAGCA